UACCACAUCCAAAACAUUCCUCACUAUUAGCUCUGCAUGCACCUAGCACUUCUAACACUACUCUAGGAUUUGGAACCUGGCGUCCUAUUAUGACUGACAUCUCUGGAAUUUGGUACGGGCACACUUGCUAAGGAUAGAGCUGGGACUGAAGUUUUCUAACUAAUGUGAGAACGAUUAGCACCCUGGGACCCAGCUUGAGAAAAGUUAUAACUACCUGUUCUGAACCUCUUAUUAGACCCCCCUCUCUCCUUAGAUUUAUCUUUCUUCAUCUAAUGGGCAUGCAUUCUUAACCUAGAAAGAUCCAUGUCUCUAUUGAUCAUAAUGGUUCUACAC
This 333-nucleotide long non-coding RNA is filed under the name Capsicum annuum. RNAcentral describes it as "long non-coding RNA (CANN_LNC018866)". Lineage: Eukaryota; Viridiplantae; Streptophyta; Magnoliopsida; Solanales; Solanaceae. The record is from RNAcentral.